CCUACGGGAGGCAGCAGUGGGGGAUAUUGCACAAUGGGGGGAACCCUGAUGCAGCGACGCCGCGUGGGUGAAGGAGUAUUUCGGUAUGUAAAGCUCUAUCGGCAGGGAAGAAAUUGGACGGUACCUGACUAAGAAGCCCCGGCUAACUACGUGCCAGCAGCCGCGGUAAUACGCAGGGGGCAAGCGUUAGCCGGAUUCACUGGGUGUAAAGGGAGCGUAGGCGGCAAUGCAAGCCAGGGGUGAAAGGCCGGGGCCCAACCCCGGGACUGCCCUUGGAACUGGAUGGCUGGAGUGCGGGAGGGGCAGGCGGAAUUCCUGGUGGAGCGGUGAAAUGCGUAGAUAUGAGGAGGAACACCGGCGGCGAAGGCGGCCUGCUGGAGCGCGACUGACGUUGAGGCUCGAAAGCGUGGGGAGCGAACAGGAUUAGAUACCCCAGUAGUC
RNAcentral lists this ribosomal RNA (441 nucleotides) under uncultured bacterium. RNAcentral describes it as "partial 16S ribosomal RNA". It matches the Rfam family "Bacterial small subunit ribosomal RNA", at positions 338 to 795 of the family's 1533-position model. The record is from RNAcentral.